GAAGAGCUAGAAAUAACUCUCACCCCACACUCUGGCAGUCCAUGUUUUCAGCCACCAAGGACUGGGGACAGGGCAGAAGAGAAGGAGAGAAGAGAACGUGGCAGAAGACAUAUUUGAAGAGACAAUGCUCAGGAACUUCUAAAAUUGAUGAGGUCAUCAAUUCACAAAUGGAAGGAGUUCAGCAAAUCCCAAGCAAGUUAAAUACAAAACAAAAAUAAGCCAACAAAUUUAAAAAUCCCAUAUAUAGGCAUAUCAUAAUCAAACUGCUGAAAACUGAAGAUGGAAGAGAUCUUACAAGCAACAGGAGAGCAACAGGAGAAUAAAAGACACAUUAGUUAUGUGAGAAUGGCAACAUGGGUUAUGGCUAUUCCAUGUUUUAGGACCAGAAAAAAAUGGAGUCUUAGCUGAGCAUGGUGGCACAUGCUUGAACCCAGGAGUUUGAGUCCAGCCUGAGUAAAGUAGUGAGACCCCAUCUCUAUUUAAAAAAGAAAAGAAGUCCAGGCACGGUGGCUCACACCUGUAAUCUCAGAACUUUGGGAGGUGGGCAAAUCACAAGGUCAAGAGGUCGAGACCAUCCUGGCCAACAUGGUGAAACUGCGUCUCUACUAAAAAUACAAAAAUUAGCCGGGUGUGGUGGUGCACACCUGUAGUCCCAGCUACUCGGGAGGCUGAGGCAGGAGAAUCACUUGAACCCAGGAGGUGGAGGUUGCACUGAGCCGAGAUCAUGUGCCACUGCACUCCAGCCUGUCGACAGAGCGAGACUCAGUCUCAAAAACAAAGAAAGAAAAGAAAAGGAAAAAUAGAAUGUUAAAUACAAUGGGAUGACAUCCAUAAAGAGCUGAAAGAAAAAAAAAAAAAACAACCUGUUAACCUAGAUUUCUAUGGCCAGCAGAAAUAGCCUUCAAAAAUAAUGGCAAAAUAAAGACUUUUUGGACAUAUCAAAAAGGGAAAGAAUUUGUUUCCAGCAGACCUGGACUCAAAAAACAUUAAAACAUACACAUUAACAAGAUGUGGGUUUUACAGCAUAUAUGUGAUUAUACAACCAUGAAAGAACAAAAAGGAGGAGAUGGAAUUAUACUGUCAUACAUUUCUUACUCUGUGAAAGGAGACUGUAGUAACUUCUGGAUGCAUAUGUAAUCUCUAGAACAAGCACUAAAAACACAAACAGGGAUACCAUAAAGUCAGUACAUCUGCCCAAGAGGGAUUAACCGCUACGAGAAUCAUUCUCCUACUGUAAACAGCUAGAAAACAGGACAAAAAUACAUGAAACAACUGUUUUCAGACAUUGGACAACAGGCAGCACAGGAUAGUGAUCCCUGAGAGAAGGGAAAUAACUGAUAUGAACCCUACAGGGGUUCCUAUAGGCAGUUUCCAGAUUGUAGCACAGAGUAGGGGAAUCCAAAUAGAGCCCAGGAGAGUUUGGAGAAGUCAAGGCAACUAGAAUUUGUGGGGCAGAAAACAAGAAUAAAAGGAACUACACAGAAAUCUAUAGAAGUAAGAGAAUCUUUGAUUGGACACUCAUCUGCACAUGUGAAGUGUGGAAGUCAGCAAUGCUGGAGAAAGUCACACUGGAAAUCAGAACACUGAACAAUUCCAGGAGCUCACACAGAGCUGGGAAUAGUUUAUGUUUCCAUUAGGCAUAGUGGAGAGACUGUUUCAUACAAAGGACAUUGGCUAGAGUCUUCAAAGUGGGGUUAAAUUAGCUAUAGACUAAAGGCCUUUCUAAACCUACCCUAAGCUUCAAGGCAGGUUUUGAAAGGACCAGGCUGAUUCUAAGUAACUCAAUUAUGUGCCAAAACUAAACUCUUUUAAAGAAUACAGUAAAUGCCAGCACCUAACAAUUAAAAUGUUCAGCAUUAAUAAUAUAUUAAUGAAAGAUUACUAGGCAUACAAAUAAAAAGCAGGAAAAUGACCCAUAACCAGGAGAAAAAUCAAUAGAAAAGAGACCUAGAAAUGUGGAAUUAUUAGAAAUAAUUCUGAUGAUUGAAUUAUCAGCCAAAUAUGUUAAUACAAGUAUUAUAAUGACUAGUAGAGAAAUGAAUGAUAGAUAAAAAGACACAAGCCAGAUGUGGUGAAUCAUGCCUACAGACUUGAGGGUAGGCAGAUCAGCUUGCCCAACAUGGCAAAACCCUGUCUCUACUAAAAAUACAAAAAUUAGCUGGGUGUGGUGGGAUGUGCCUGUAAUUCCAGCUUGGGAGGCUGAGGCACGAGAAUUGCUUGAACCUGGGAGGCAGAGGUUGCAGUGAGCUGAGAACAUGCCACUGUACUCCAACCUGGGUGACGGAGUGAGACUUUGUCGCAAAAAAAACCAAAAGACUCACAAGUAGUAUCUAAAGAUGAAAAAUACCAGAUAUAAUAUCCAAAACUGGGGGAAAAACUGGAUGUGAUUAACAGCAGAUUAGACACUGCGGAAAAAAAGAUCAUUAAAUGUGAAGGUAUAGCAGUAGAACCUAUUCACAUUGAAGCACAAAGAGAAAAAAAAUACUAGAACAAAGUUAAUAGAACAUCAGUAACCUUGGGACAAUAGCAAGUUGCCUAAUACAUGUAUAAUUGGAGUUCCAGAAAAGUGGGGAAAGGUAGAAGGAAUUACUUUAGGAAACAGCGUCUGGGUGGCCAGGUGGGUGGCUCACACUUGUAAUCCUAGCACUUUGGGGGGCCGAGGGGGGUGCAGAUCAUUUGAGAUCAGGAGUUUGAGACCAGCCUGUCCAACAUGGUGAAAUCUCUUCUCUACUAAAAAUACAAAAAUUAGCUGGGCUUGGUGGCAUGCGACUGUAAUCUCAGCUUCUUGGGAGGCUGAAGCAUGAGAAUUGCUUGAGCCAGGGAGAUGUAGGUUGCAGUAAGCCAAGAUCAUGCCACUACACUACAGCCUGGGCAACAGAGUGAGAACCUAUCUCAAAAAAAAAAAAAAAAAGAAAAAGAAAAAGAAAAAGAAAAUAAGAAAAUAGUGGCUCAUCAUGGUGGCUCAUGCCUGUAAUCCCAGCACUUUGAGAGGCUGAGAUGAGAGGAUUUUUUGAGCACAGGAGUUCAAGACCAGCCUGGGCAAUUUCCUUAAAAAAGAAAAAGAAACAGUGACUAUAAAUUUUCCAAAUCUGAUGAUAACCAUAAACUCUCAGAUCCAAGAAACUCAGUGAACUCUAAAUAGAAUAAACAAAUAUAAUCAUACCUAGGUAUGUAAUAAUAAAAUUAGUGCCAGUCAUGGUGGCUCAUGCCUGUAAUCCUAACACUUUGGGAUGCUGAGGCCCGGAGUUUGAGACCAGCCUGGGCAACAUAGUGAUACCCCUAUGUCUACAAAGAUUAAAAAAUAGAAAUAUAAAAAGUUAGCUAAGCAUGGUGGCACUUGUCUGUAAUCCCACUUACUUGGGAGGCUGAGGUGGGAGGAUUGCUUGAACUCACGAGGUCAAGGCUGCGGUAAGCCAUAAUUGUAUUCCACCCAGGGUGAUAAAGCAUGACGGGAGAUCCUGUCUCAAAACAAAACAAAACCAAAAAAAGGCGAGGCACAGUGACUCACACUUGUAAUCCCAGCAUUUUGGGAGGUCAAGGUAGGAUGAUCGCUUGAGCCCAGAAAUUGGAGACAAGCCUGGGCAACAUAGUGAGACCCUGUCUCUCAAAAAAAAGUUUAAAAAGGCGGGCAUGGUGGCAUGGGCCUGUAGUCCUGUCUACUCAGGUGGCUAAGGUGGGAGGAUUGCUUGAGCUUGGGAGGUUGAGGCUGCAGUGAACUGUGUUCGUGCCACUGCACUCCAGCAUGGGAGACAGAGCAAGAUCCUUUCUCAAUAAUAACACAUAAACCAAUGUUACAAUGAGAAGAAAUAAAUUCUGGUGUUCGGUUUUUUGUUUUUUUUUUUCUGAGAUGGAGUUUCUCUCUUGUUGCCCACGCUGGAGUGCAAUGGCAUAGUCUUGGCUCACUGCAACCUCCACCUCCUGGAUUCAAGAUGAUUCUUUUCCCUCAGCCUCCCAAGUAGCUGGGAUUACAGGUGCAUGCCACCACACCCAGCUAAUUUUCGUAUUUUUAGUCCAUCACGUUAGCCAGGCUGGUCUCAAACUCCUGAUCUCAAAUUCUGGUGUUCUAUUGCACAGUGGGGUGAGUAUAGUUAAGAGUAAAAUAUUAUUACAAAAUAGCUGGAAGAGGGGCUUUUGAAUGUUCUUUCACUAACUGCUCUGAUUGGAUCAUUAUGCAACAUGGAUAUGUAUCAAAACAUCGAACUGUGGCCCGGCGUGGUGGCUCAUGCUGGUAAUUCCAGCACUUUGGGAGUCUGCGGUGGGUGGAUCACCUGAGGUCAGGAGUUCAAGACUAGCCUGGCCAACAUGGUGAAACCCCAUCUCUACUAAAAAUACAAAAAUUAGCUGGGUGUGGUGGUGCAUGCCUGUAAUUCCAGCUACUCGGGAGACUGAGGCGGGAGAAUUGCUUGAACCUGGGAGGCAGAGGUUGCAGUGAGCUGAGAUUGCGCCAUCGCACUCCAGCCUGGGCAACAGAGCAAGACUCCAUCUCAAAAAAAAAAAAAUCAAAUUGUACCCCAUAAGUAUGUACAAUUACAAUAUGACAGUUUAAAAAAUAAAUUAAAAAAAAAU
This 4566-nucleotide long non-coding RNA is filed under the name Homo sapiens (human). RNAcentral's name for it is "HSALNT0357792". The record is from RNAcentral. Lineage: Eukaryota; Metazoa; Chordata; Mammalia; Primates; Hominidae.